CCUGGCUCAGGACGAACGCUGGCGGCGUGCUUAACACAUGCAAGUCGAACGGAGCGAAUGAAAGCUUGCUUUUAUAAGCUUAGUGGCAAACGGGUGAGUAACACGUAGGCAACCUGCCGACAGUAUGGGGACAACAUUCCGAAAGGAAUGCUAAUACCGAAUGAAGCGCAGGAGAGGCAUCUCUCCUGCGUGAAAGAUGGCCUCUAUAUAUAAGCUAUCACCUGUCGAUGGGCCUGCGUCUGAUUAGCUGGUAGGUGAGGUAACGGCUCACCUAGGCGACGAUCAGUAGCCGGUCUGAGAGGAUGAACGGCCACAUUGGGACUGAGACACGGCCCAGACUCCUACGG
RNAcentral lists this ribosomal RNA (347 nucleotides) under uncultured bacterium. Its description in RNAcentral is "bacterial SSU rRNA". It matches the Rfam family "Bacterial small subunit ribosomal RNA", at positions 18 to 344 of the family's 1533-position model. The record is from RNAcentral.